AACGAACGCUGGCGGCAUGCCUAACACAUGCAAGUCGAACGAGACCUUCGGGUCUAGUGGCGCACGGGUGCGUAACGCGUGGGAACCUGCCCUUAGGUUCGGAAUAACUCCCCGAAAGGGGUGCUAAUACCGGAUAAUGUCUUCGGACCAAAGAUUUAUCGCCUUUGGAUGGGCCCGCGUUGGAUUAGCUAGUUGGUAGGGUAAAAGCCUACCAAGGCGACGAUCCAUAGCUGGUCUGAGAGGAUGAUCAGCCACACUGGGACUGAGACACGGCCCAGACUCCUACGGGAAGCAGCAGUGGGGAAUAUUGGACAAUGGGCGAAAGCCUGAUCAAGCAAUGCCGCGUGAGUGAUGAAGGCCUUAGGGUUGUAAAGCUCUUUUACCCGGGAUGAUAAUGACAGUACCGGGAGAAUAAGCUCCGGCUAACUCCGUG
This 433-nucleotide ribosomal RNA is filed under the name uncultured bacterium. RNAcentral's name for it is "partial 16S ribosomal RNA". It matches the Rfam family "Bacterial small subunit ribosomal RNA", at positions 29 to 507 of the family's 1533-position model. The record is from RNAcentral.